Molecule: long non-coding RNA, 230 nt
Organism: Piliocolobus tephrosceles (Ugandan red Colobus)
Lineage: Eukaryota; Metazoa; Chordata; Mammalia; Primates; Cercopithecidae
Exons: 4
Source: RefSeq, a predicted model, not a curated record
CAUAGGAAGCAGAAGAUGAACCAAGUCCAUCUUCACUUGGAGCCAAGGUCAAGAGCUCCCUGCUGAUUUACAAGAGCCCAUGUCACUUCUGCACUUCAGUAAACCCGGACGGGGACUCGUCGGCAAAGGAAGCAGAUGGUGUCCCGAGUCCAUCUUCACUUGGAGAACCUCAAGUCAGGAUACACUUCUCAUAGAACACAGAGUAACAGGAAAUCUAGUCAUACAUGAUG